AGAGUGAACGCUGGCGGUAGGCCUAACACAUGCAAGUCGAACGGCAGCACAGUGGUAGCAAUACCAUGGGUGGCGAGUGGCGGACGGGUGAGGAAUACAUCGGAAUCUACCUUUUCGUGGGGGAUAACGUAGGGAAACUUACGCUAAUACCGCAUACGCCCUUCGGGGGAAAGCCGGGGAUCGCAAGACCUGGCGCGGAUAGAUGAGCCGAUGUCGGAUUAGCUAGUUGGUGAGGUAAUGGCUCACCAAGGCGACGAUCCGUAGCUGGUCUGAGAGGAUGAUCAGCCACACUGGAACUGAGACACGGUCCAGACUCCUACGGGAGGCAGCAGUGGGAAUAUUGGACAAUGGGCGCAAGCCUGAUCCCAGCCAUACCGCGUGGGUGAAGGAAGGCCUUCGGGUUAGUAAACGGCCCUUUUUAGGUUAGGGAAAAGAAAAGCGAAAGUUACGGUUAAAGUACCCGGUUUAGUU
This 471-nucleotide ribosomal RNA is filed under the name uncultured soil bacterium. RNAcentral describes it as "bacterial SSU rRNA". It matches the Rfam family "Bacterial small subunit ribosomal RNA", at positions 26 to 503 of the family's 1533-position model. The record is from RNAcentral.